This is a long non-coding RNA of Pseudoliparis swirei, 1732 nucleotides long. RefSeq lists it as uncharacterized. The record is from RefSeq and is a predicted model, not a curated record. NCBI's taxonomy places the organism in Eukaryota, Metazoa, Chordata, Actinopteri, Perciformes, Liparidae. The transcript has 3 exons.
ACAUACAGGACAAGCCUACAAACGUGGCUCGGUUUGGACGGUGAGUCCCGGGACGUGGCUGAGAACUUCGAACACUGUGUUGAUGUGGAGUUUGACAAUAUUCCCGAGGAUGCUUGCUUCCAUCACACGUGCUACCGUAGAUUUACGGACAAAAAAUCCAUGGCAAAGGUGGAAAGAAGGAGAAGUUCGUCAACCGAGCAGGCAAACGACAAAGGGAUACUCUGUCAAAGGCUGAAACAUUAACAGCAGGCCAAUUGCAGAAAGCUGCCGAGUUGAAGGACGACCAAAGUAUUCUUUUGCAUAUAAAAGACAAAGACUGUGUGGCUCUGGAGGUGCAGUACCACAAAGGCUGUUAUAAUCAGUACACCAGGUUUUUGACGAGGCCUGAAAAACCAGAGAAAGACCAGAAUGAGCCCACGUUUGAUGUCAGCGAUAAGAUAUUCUGUGAAAGGAUCAUUCGCCAAAGGCUGCUUGUCAACCAAGAGGUGCUGAGAAUGGGCUGAGGAAGGCCUUCAUUGAACUGGUGAAAGCAAAUGAAGGUCUUGAUGCUUCAAACUACAGGGAACUGCAAUGCAUUUUUCUCUCACGUCUUAUUAUUUGUCAUGUGCAAGUCCAGCUUUACACAACAUGUGUGUGACAGGCCUGAGAAACUGUUUUUAAUUCUUGCUGUUUGCACAAACAUGUACCAGUUGGCAACAAGGAGAAGUGUGUGCGUGCGUGAUGUUGUGUGCCUUUCUUGGGCAUCUUUGGUGUUCAAUGUGCUGUAUGGCAGAUAGGUUCUAGCCUGUAAUGUCUUGUACCACCUGCACCACUCUCUGUUUUCAUGAUACUCCUGUGACUCUUAAUUGUCACUGUUUUGUUGUGUUGCAGACAGGAUAUGUUGAAGGAGAGGCUGGCUCGUGAUUUCCCCCAGCUGGUGUUUCACAUCCCCACCAAGCGCAACAUCUGCGAGCUGGUUUUUGCAGAGACCCUGUCAACCAUUGACAUUACCAAGGUGUCAUCAGCUCUUGGAACCAGUGUGUGUUCAGCCUUGAUCGGAAUUCACACAUUCUCUGGGUGUGACUCCACAAGUGCCUUUUAUGGCAAAGGGAAAAAAAGACAUUUUCUGUUGCAUGUGAGAAAGGUGAGUACCUAAAGGCUUUUAAAAGUGUAGGUACUCACUUUAACUUGGAGCAGUCAACAUUUGCACUUCUUUGCCAGUAUGUGUGCCACUUAUAUGAUCAGCCAGCUGCCGAUAAUGUAAAUGAAGCUAGGUACAAGGCUUUCUGUAUGGCAUCAUCAGCCUUGCCAGAAAUAUGCAUUCCCCCAACGACUGAUGCCCUCCAACAGCACUGCAAACGGGCAAACUACCAGGCUGCAAUAAUGAGGUCCUGUCGCAAACAAAAAAGAAGUGCUCUGUCACCUGCUGGAUAUGGUUGGCAAAUAGAGGAUGGGACCUUGCACAUCACCUGGAUGACCAGAAAUCCGGCCCCUGACAGUGUUUUCCAUGUCAUACACUGCGGCUGUAAAGGUGCCUGUGAGACAGGAAGAUGUUCCUGUUUUUCUGCAGGAUUGUGUUGCACAGACUUCUGUCGUUGCUGUAAUUGUGCCAACACCAAAGACACCGAGCAACUGGAAGACAACUGUCCCGACACUGACAGUGAGGACUGAGCGUCCUUAAUAUGUUAUUUCUUUUGUAGUUUUGUACAGUUUUAUAUAUGUCAUAUUUUUCAUAAAGAUUGUUUCUAUUGUU